RNAcentral lists this ribosomal RNA (400 nucleotides) under uncultured Geobacteraceae bacterium. Its description in RNAcentral is "bacterial SSU rRNA". It matches the Rfam family "Bacterial small subunit ribosomal RNA", at positions 154 to 531 of the family's 1533-position model. The record is from RNAcentral. Lineage: Bacteria; Pseudomonadati; Thermodesulfobacteriota; Desulfuromonadia; Geobacterales; Geobacteraceae.
AAAGGUGGGCUAAUACCUGAUAACGCUGUUGUUGCUUCGGGGAUACAGCCAAAGGGGGCCUCUAUUUAUAAGCUCUUACUGAAGGAUGAGUCCGCGUACCAUUAGCUAGUUGGUAGGGUAAUAGCCUACCAAGGCUACGAUGGGUAGCUAGCCUUAGAGGGCGGUUAGCCACACUGGGASKGAGACACUGCCCAGACUCCUACGGGAGGCAGCAGUGGGGAAUUUUGCGCAAUGGGCGAAAGCCUGACGCAGCAACGCCGCGUGAGUGAUGAAGGCCUUCGGGUCGUAAAGCUCUGUCAGUGGGGAAGAACCGCCGGGUGGCUAAUACCUGCCUGGUCUGACGGUACCCACAAAGGAAGCACCGGCUAACUCCGUGCCAGCAGCCGCGGUAAUACAAGGG